RNAcentral lists this ribosomal RNA (554 nucleotides) under Pachygrapsus corrugatus. Its description in RNAcentral is "partial 16S ribosomal RNA". It matches the Rfam family "Bacterial large subunit ribosomal RNA", at positions 1821 to 2625 of the family's 2925-position model. The record is from RNAcentral. Lineage: Eukaryota; Metazoa; Arthropoda; Malacostraca; Decapoda; Grapsidae.
GUCUGUUUGCAUAUAUAAACAGUCUAACCUGCCCGCUGACAAAAAGUUGAAGGGCCGCGGUAUUCUGACCGUGCAAAGGUAGCAUAAUCGUUAGUUCUUUAAAUGGGAUCUAGUAUGAAUGGUUGGACAAAAUAAGAACUGUCUUGGUAAUUGAAAUGGAAUUUAACUUUUAAGUGAAAAGGCUUAAAUACACUAGGGGGACGAUAAGACCCUAUAAAGCUUGAUAUAGAUUAACGGUAAACUUAAUUUUAGGAAUAUAAAAGUUUUUCUAGUUAAUUUUUAUUUUAUUGGGGCGAUAAAAGUAAAAGUAAUAAUAACUGCUUUGUUAAAAUACACAUAUGGGUGAUGAUAAAAAAAUAAAUGAUCCUAAAUAAAGAUUAAAAGAUUAAGUUACUUUAGGGAUAACAGCGUCAUUUUUCUUGAGAGUCCCUAUCGAAAGAAAAGCUUGCGACCUCGAUGUUGAAUUAAAAUUUCUCUAUCAAUUGUAUCCGUUAUAGAAGAAGGUCUGUUCGACCUUUAAAAUUUUACAUGAUUUGAGUUCAGACCGGCGUGAG